This 491-nucleotide ribosomal RNA is filed under the name uncultured bacterium. RNAcentral describes it as "partial 16S ribosomal RNA". It matches the Rfam family "Bacterial small subunit ribosomal RNA", at positions 29 to 507 of the family's 1533-position model. The record is from RNAcentral.
GUGCACGCUGGCGGUAGGCCUAACACCUGCAAGUCGCACGGCAGCACAGUAAGAGCUUGCUCUUACGGGUGGCGAGUGGCGGACGGGUGAGGAAUACAUCGGAAUCUACUUUUUCGUGGGGGAUAACGUAGGGAAACUUACGCUAAUACCGCAUACGACCUACGGGUGAAAGCAGGGGAUCUUCGGACCUUGCGCGAUUGAAUGAGCCGAUGUCGGAUUAGCUAGUUGGCGGGGUAAAGGCCCACCAAGGCGACGAUCCGUAGCUGGUCUGAGAGGAUGAUCAGCCACACUGGAACUGAGACACGGUCCAGACUCCUACGGGAGGCAGCAGUGGGGAAUAUUGGACAAUGGGCGCAAGCCUGAUCCAGCCAUACCGCGUGGGUGAAGAAGGCCUUCGGGUUGUAAAGCCCUUCUGUUGGGAAAGAAAAGCAGCAGGUUAAUACCCCGCUGUUCUGACGGUACCCAAAGAAUAAGCACCGGCUAACUUCGUG